Molecule: ribosomal RNA, 329 nt
Filed under: uncultured eukaryote
Lineage: Eukaryota
Description: partial 18S ribosomal RNA
Rfam family: Eukaryotic small subunit ribosomal RNA
Source: RNAcentral
CCCUUAGAUGUUCUGGGCCGCACGCGCGCUACACUGACGGAGGCAGCGAGCGUGUCCUUCGCCGGCAGGUGCGGGCAAUCUUGCGAGUCUCCGUCGUGCUGGGGAUAGAUGGUUGCAAUUGUCGAUCUUGGACGAGGAAUUCCUAGUAAGCGCGAGUCAUCAGCUCGCGCUGAUUACGUCCCUGCCCUUUGUACACACCGCCCGUCGCUACUACAGAGUGCCCGUGUCCAAGAAACGGUCGGACCUGUGCGGCCUCUCCGGGCGACCGGAGGGCCGUUACGGGGAAGACCCUUUAUUUGACGCGGGUCGAUGAAGUAAAAGUCGUAACA